GAUGAAGAACGUAGCGAAAUGCGAUACGUAAUGUGAAUUGCAGAAUUCAGUGAAUCAUCGAAUCUUUGAACGCAUAUUGCGCUCUUUGGUAUUCCGAAGAGCAUGCUUGUUUGAGUAUCAGUAAACACCUCAACCUCUUCUUGAUUUUUCAAAAGGAGGGUGGACUUGAGCUAUCCCAACAACCUUUACCGGUCGGCGGGCGGCUUGAAAUGCAGGUGCAGCUGGACUUUUAUCUGAGCUAAAAGCAUAUCUAUUUAGUCCUCGUCAAACAGGAUUAUUACUUUUGCUGCAGCUAACAUAAAGGAUAAUUGUCCUCUUUGCUGACUGAUGCAGGAUUUUACGACACUUUAUGUGUUGUUCAACUCGAUCUCAAAUCAAGUAAGACUACCCGCUGAACUUAAGAAUAUCAAUAAGCGGAGGA
Molecule: unclassified non-coding RNA, 421 nt
Filed under: soil metagenome
Description: partial contains 5.8S ribosomal RNA, internal transcribed spacer 2, and large subunit ribosomal RNA
Rfam family: 5.8S ribosomal RNA (bases 1-120)
Source: RNAcentral